RNAcentral lists this ribosomal RNA (768 nucleotides) under uncultured bacterium. RNAcentral's name for it is "bacterial SSU rRNA". It matches the Rfam family "Bacterial small subunit ribosomal RNA", at positions 45 to 846 of the family's 1533-position model. The record is from RNAcentral.
CGCCUAACACAUGCAAGUCGAACGGUUCUUCGGAACAGUGGCAAACGGGCGAGUAACACGUACCUAACCUGCCCUCGAGCGAGGCACAACUAUGGAGACAUAGCUAAUUCCUCAUACGAUCCAUAAAAUGAAAAUAUAUGGAUGAAAGGUUUACCACUCGAGGAGGGGGGUGCGGUCUAUCAGAUAGUUGGUGAGGUAAAGGCUCACCAAGUCUAUGACGGAUAGUCGGUCUGAGAUGAUGUCCGGCCGCAAUGGGACUGAGACACGGCCCAUACUCCUACGGGAGGCAGCAGUGGGGAAUCUUGCGCAAUGGACGAAAGUCUGACGCAGCGAUCCCGCGUGGAGGAUGACACCUUACGGGGCGUAAACUCCUUUUUUGGUGGAAGACGAAAGACGGUACACCAAGAAUAAAGGACGGCUAACUACGUGCCAGCAGCCGCGGUAAUACGUAGGUCCUAAGCGUUAUCCGGAUUUACUGGGCGUAGAGCGUCUGUAGCUGGAAAAGUAAGUCUGCUUUCAAAUACUAUGGCUCAACCAUAGAAAGGGAAUGGAUACUGCUUAUCUAGAGGUUAUUAGGGGUUAGUGGAAUUUCCGGUGGAGCGGUGAAAUGUGUUGAUAUCGGAAGGAACGCCAAAAGCGAAAGCAGCUAACUAUAAUAAACCUGACAGUCAGAGACGAAAGCUUGGGUAGCAAACGGGAUUAGAUACCCCGGUAGUCCAAGCCGUAAAUUAUGCUUGCUAGAUGUUUUCUCCAUCUUGGAGGGAGUGU